RNAcentral lists this ribosomal RNA (253 nucleotides) under uncultured bacterium. RNAcentral's name for it is "partial 16S ribosomal RNA". It matches the Rfam family "Bacterial small subunit ribosomal RNA", at positions 524 to 776 of the family's 1533-position model. The record is from RNAcentral.
UACAGAGGUCCCAAGCGUUGCUCGGAUUCACUGGGCGUAAAGGGUGCGUAGGCGGUCGGGUAAGUCUGACGUGAAAUCUCCAAGCUCAACUUGGAAAUGGCGUCGGAUACUAUUCGGCUCGAGGAAUGGAGGGGAGACUGGAAUUCUCGGUGUAGCAGUGAAAUGCGUAGAUAUCGAGAGGAACACCAGUGGCGAAGGCGAGUCUCUGGACAUUUCCUGACGCUGAGGCACGAAAGCCAGGGGAGCAAACGGG